This 253-nucleotide unclassified non-coding RNA is filed under the name uncultured Halomonadaceae bacterium. RNAcentral describes it as "contains 16S-23S intergenic spacer region". It matches the Rfam family "Bacterial small subunit ribosomal RNA", at positions 524 to 776 of the family's 1533-position model. The record is from RNAcentral. Lineage: Bacteria; Pseudomonadati; Pseudomonadota; Gammaproteobacteria; Oceanospirillales; Halomonadaceae.
UACGGAGGGUGCAAGCGUUAAUCGGAAUUACUGGGCGUAAGGCGCGCGUAGGCGGCUUGAUAAGCCGGUUGUGAAAGCCCCGGGCUCAACCUGGGAACGGCAUCCGGAACUGUUUAGCUAGAGUGCAGGAGAGGAAGGUAGAAUUCCCGGUGUAGCGGUGAAAUGCGUAGAGAUCGGGAGGAAUACCAGUGGCGAAGGCGGCCUUCUGGACUGACACUGACGCUGAGGUGCGAAGGCCGGGGGAGCAAACAGG